CCCGCUGAACUUAAGCAUAUCAAUAAGCGGAGGAAAAGAAACCAACAGGGAUUGCCCUAGUAACGGCGAGUGAAGCGGCAACAGCUCAAAUUUGAAAUCUGGCGCAAGCCCGAGUUGUAAUUUGUAGAGGAUGCUUCUGGCCAGCGGCCGUUCUAAGUUCCUUGGAACAGGACGUCAUAGAGGGUGAGAAUCCCGUAUGUGACCGGCGCGCAGCCUUUACGUAGCUCCUUCGACGAGUCGAGUUGUUUGGGAAUGCAGCUCUAAAUGGGAGGUAAAUUUCUUCUAAAGCUAAAUACCGGCCAGAGACCGAUAGCGCACAAGUAGAGUGAUCGAAAGAUGAAAAGUACUUUGGAAAGAGAGUUAAAAAGCACGUGAAAUUGUUGAAAGGGAAGCGCUUGCAACCAGACUUCGUAGCGAUGUUCCGCUGGUCUUUUGACCGGUCUACUCAUCGUCGCGAGGCCAACAUCGUCUGGGACCGCUGGAUAAGACCUAAGGAAUGUAGCUUCCCUCGGGAAGUGUUAUAGCCUGUGGUGAUGCAGCGUGUCUCGGGCGAGGUCCGCGCUUCGGCAAGGAUGUUGGCGUAAUGGUUGUCAGCGGCCCGUCUUGAAACACGGACCAAGGAGUCUAACAUCUAUGCGAGUGUUCGGGUGUCAAACCCCUACGCGUAAUGAAAGUGAACGGAGGUGGGAAGCGCAAGCUGCACCAUCGACCGAUCCUGAUGUCCUCGGAUGGAUUUGAGUAAGAGCAUAGCUGUUGGGACCCGAAAGAUGGUGAACUAUGCCUGAAUAGGGUGAAGCCAGAGGAAACUCUGGUGGAGGCUCGCAGCGGUUCUGACGUGCAAAUCGAUCGUCAAAUUUGGGUAUAGGGGCGAAAGACUAAUCGAACCAUCUAGUAGCUGGUUCCUGCCG
This 908-nucleotide ribosomal RNA is filed under the name Passalora arctostaphyli. Its description in RNAcentral is "eukaryotic LSU rRNA". It matches the Rfam family "Eukaryotic large subunit ribosomal RNA", at positions 24 to 963 of the family's 3401-position model. The record is from RNAcentral. Lineage: Eukaryota; Fungi; Ascomycota; Dothideomycetes; Mycosphaerellales; Mycosphaerellaceae.